Molecule: non-coding RNA, 98 nt
Organism: Rhodocollybia butyracea
Lineage: Eukaryota; Fungi; Basidiomycota; Agaricomycetes; Agaricales; Omphalotaceae
Source: the annotation of a GenBank genome assembly
GCUCAAAUAGUCAAGUGGUCAAGACACCUUGGAGUUACAGAUUGUUGCUUUUGUACUUUUAUUUCAAGGGGGCGGGGGUUCGAUUCCUCCUUUGAGUG